CAACCCUCAAGCCCUGGCUGCUUGGUGUUGGAGCGCUACAGCGCAGCGCUGUAGCCUCCCAAAUUCAGUGGCGGACCCGCUGAGGCCCCUAGCGCAGUAAAUUUUUUCUCGCUUCAGGGCGUCCCAGCGGCGACUUGCCGUAAAACCCCCACUAUUUUACAA
Molecule: unclassified non-coding RNA, 162 nt
Filed under: uncultured Sordariomycetes
Lineage: Eukaryota; Fungi; Ascomycota; Sordariomycetes
Description: sequence contains ITS2
Source: RNAcentral